GGGGAAUUUUCCGCAAUGGGCGAAAGCCUGACGGAGCAAGACCGCGUGAGGGAGGAAGGCUCUUGGGUUGUAAACCUCUUUUAUUAGGGAAGAAGUUCUGACGGUACCUAAUGAAUCAGCAUCGGCUAACUCCGUGCCAGCAGCCGCGGUAAUACGGGGGAUGCAAGCGUUAUCCGGAAUUAUUGGGCGUAAAGCGUCCGCAGGUGGCCUUUCAAGUCUGCUGUUAAAAACCAGGGCUUAACCCUGGGUCGGCGGUGGAAACUGAAAAGCUAGAGUCCGGUAGGGGUAGAGGGAAUUUCCAGUGUAGCGGUGAAAUGCGUAGAUAUUGGAAAGAACACCAGUGGCGAAGGCGCUCUACUAGGCCGGUACUGACACUCAGUGACGAAAGCUAGGGGAGCGAAAGGGAUUAGAUACCCCUGUAGUCCUAGCUGUAAACGAUGGAUACUAGGCGUAGUCUGUAUCGACCCGGACUGUGCCGAAGCUAACGCGUUAAGUAUCCCGCCUGGGGAGUACGCACGCAAGUGUGAAACUCAAAGGAAUUGACGGGGGCCCGCACAAGCGGUGGAGUAUGUGGUUUAAUUCGAUGCAACGCGAAGAACCUUACCAGGACUUGACAUGUCGCGAAUCUCGGUGAAAGCUGAGAGUGCCUUCGGGAGCGCGAGCACAGGUGGUGCAUGGCUGUCGUCAGCUCGUGUCGUGAGAUGUUGGGUUAAGUCCCGCAACGAGCGCAACCCUCGUUUUUAGUUGCCAUCAUUAAGUUGGGCACUCUAGAGAGACUGCCGGUGACAAACCGGAGGAAGGUGGGGAUGACGUCAAGUCAGCAUGCCCCUUACGUUCUGGGCUACACACGUACUACAAUGGUCGGGACAACGGGCAGCAAACUCGCGAGAGUAAGCGAAUCUCAUCAAACCCGGCCUCAGUUCAGAUUGCAGGCUGCAACUCGCCUGCAUGAAGGAGGAAUCGCUAGUAAUCGUCGGUCAGCAUACGGCGGUGAAUUCGUUCCCGGGCCUUGUACACACCGCCCGUCACACCAUGGAAGCUGGCCACGCCCGAAGUCGUUACCCUAACCCGUAAGGGAGGGGGAUGCCUAAGGCAGGGCUAGUGACUGGGGUGAAGUCGUAACAAGGUAGCCGUACCGGAAGGUGUGGCUGGAUCACCUCCU
RNAcentral lists this ribosomal RNA (1162 nucleotides) under Johanseninema constrictum. RNAcentral's name for it is "bacterial SSU rRNA". It matches the Rfam family "Bacterial small subunit ribosomal RNA", at positions 356 to 1531 of the family's 1533-position model. Lineage: Bacteria; Bacillati; Cyanobacteriota; Cyanophyceae; Chroococcales; Chroococcaceae. The record is from RNAcentral.